Molecule: ribosomal RNA, 207 nt
Filed under: uncultured bacterium
Lineage: Bacteria
Description: partial 16S ribosomal RNA
Rfam family: Bacterial small subunit ribosomal RNA
Source: RNAcentral
CAUGCAGGCGGUUUAGCAAGUUGGUUGUGAAAGCUCCUGGCUUAACUGGGAGAGGUCAAGCGAGACUGCUAAACUUGAGGAAGGUAGAGGAGAGCGGAAUUCCCGGUGUAGUGGUGGAAUGCGUAGAGAUCGGGAGGAACACCAGUGGCGAAAGCGGCUCUCUGGGCCUUUACUGACACUCAGAUGCGAAAGCGUGGGGAGCGAACG